Molecule: ribosomal RNA, 720 nt
Filed under: gamma proteobacterium GM55
Lineage: Bacteria; Pseudomonadati; Pseudomonadota; Gammaproteobacteria
Description: bacterial SSU rRNA
Rfam family: Bacterial small subunit ribosomal RNA
Source: RNAcentral
GUAACAGGAAUAGCUUGCUAUUCGCUGACGAGUGGCGGACGGGUGAGUAAUGCUUGGGAACAUGCCUUUACGUGGGGGACAACAGUUGGAAACGACUGCUAAUACCGCAUGAUCUCUUCGGAGCAAAGCAGGGGACCUUCGGGCCUUGCGCGUAAAGAGUGGCCCAAGUGGGAUUAGCUAGUUGGUAAGGUAAUGGCUUACCAAGGCGACGAUCCCUAGUUGGUCUUAGAGGAUGACCAGCCACACUGGAACUGAGACACGGUCCAGACUCCUACGGGAGGCAGCAGUGGGGAAUAUUGCACAAUGGAGGAAACUCUGAUGCAGCCAUGCCGCGUGUGUGAAGAAGGCUUUCGGGUUGUAAAGCACUUUCAGUGGGGAGGAAAGGGUAUUAGUUAAUAACUGAUAUCUGUGACGUUACCCACAGAAGAAGCACCGGCUAACUCCGUGCCAGCAGCCGCGGUAAUACGGAGGGUGCGAGCGUUAAUCGGAAUUACUGGGCGUAAAGCGCGCGUAGGUGGUUAAUUAAGUCAGAUGUGAAAGCCCCGGGCUCAACCUGGGAACGGCAUUUGAAACUGGUUAACUAGAGUUUUGUAGAGGGUGGUAGAAUUUCAGGUGUAGCGGUGAAAUGCGUAGAGAUCUGAAGGAAUACCAGUGGCGAAGGCGGCCACCUGGACAGUGACUGACACUGAGGCGCGAAGGCGUGGGGAGCAAACGGGAUUA